RNAcentral lists this ribosomal RNA (1458 nucleotides) under metagenome. Its description in RNAcentral is "bacterial SSU rRNA". It matches the Rfam family "Bacterial small subunit ribosomal RNA". The record is from RNAcentral.
UAACACAUGCAAGUCGAACGGUAACAGGAAGCAGCUUGCUGCUUCGCUGACGAGUGGCGGACGGGUGAGUAAUGUCUGGGAAGCUGCCUGAUGGGGGGGGAUAACUACUGGAAACGGUAGCUAAUACCGCAUAAUGUCGCAAGACCAAAGAGGGGGACCUUCGGGCCUCUUGCCAUCGGAUGUGCCCAGAUGGGAUUAGCUUGUUGGUGGGGUAACGGCUCACCAAGGCGACGAUCCCUAGCUGGUCUGAGAGGAUGACCAGCCACACUGGAACUGAGACACGGUCCAGACUCCUACGGGAGGCAGCAGUGGGGAAUAUUGCACAAUGGGCGCAAGCCUGAUGCAGCCAUGCCGCGUGUAUGAAGAAGGCCUUCGGGUUGUAAAGUACUUUCAGCGGGGAGGAAGGGAGUAAAGUUAAUACCUUUGCUCAUUGACGUUACCCGCAGAAGAAGCACCGGCUAACUCCGUGCCAGCAGCCGCGGUAAUACGGAGGGUGCAAGCGUUAAUCGGAAUUACUGGGCGUAAAGCGCACGCAGGCGGUUUGUUAAGUCAGAUGUGAAAUCCCCGGGCUCAACCUGGGAACUGCAUCUGAUACUGGCAAGCUUGAGUCUCGUAGAGGGGGGUAGAAUUCCAGGUGUAGCGGUGAAAUGCGUAGAGACCUGGAGGAAUACCGGUGGCGAAGGCGGCCCCCUGGACGAAGACUGACGCUCAGGUGCGAAAGCGUGGGGAGCAAACAGGAUUAGAUACCCUGGUAGUCCACGCCGUAAACGAUGUCGACUUGGAGGUUGUGCCCUUGAGGCGUGGCUUCCGGAGCUAACGCGUUAAGUCGACCGCCUGGGGAGUACGGCCGCAAGGUUAAAACUCAAAUGAAUUGACGGGGGCCCGCACAAGCGGUGGAGCAUGUGGUUUAAUUCGAUGCAACGCGAAGAACCUUACCUGGUCUUGACAUCCACGGAAGUUUUCAGAGAUGAGAAUGUGCCUUCGGGAACCGUGAGACAGGUGCUGCAUGGCUGUCGUCAGCUCGUGUUGUGAAAUGUUGGGUUAAGUCCCGCAACGAGCGCAACCCUUAUCCUUUGUUGCCAGCGGUCCGGCCGGGAACUCAAAGGAGACUGCCAGUGAUAAACUGGAGGAAGGUGGGGAUGACGUCAAGUCAUCAUGGCCCUUACGACCAGGGCUACACACGUGCUACAAUGGCGCAUACAAAGAGAAGCGACCUCGCGAGAGCAAGCGGACCUCAUAAAGUGCGUCGUAGUCCGGAUUGGAGUCUGCAACUCGACUCCAUGAAGUCGGAAUCGCUAGUAAUCGUGGAUCAGAAUGCCACGGUGAAUACGUUCCCGGGCCUUGUACACACCGCCGUCACACCAUGGGAGUGGGUUGCAAAAGAAGUAGGUAGCUUAACCUUCGGGAGGGCGCUUACCACUUUGUGAUUCAUGACUGGGGUGAAGUCGGAACAAGGUA